AACCAGCUCUUCAAGUGGUCGGGAUAAUUAUUGGGCUUAAAGUGUCCGUAGCUGGUAGGGUAAGUUCCUGGUAAAAUUGGGCAGCUUAACUGUCCUUAUGCUAGGAAUACUCCUCUACUAGAGGGCGGGAGAAGUCUGAGGUACUGCAGGGGUAGGGGUGAAAUCUUAUAAUCCUUGUAGGACCACCAGUGGCGAAAGCGUCAGACCGGAACGCGCCUGACAGUGAGGGACGAAAGCCAGGGGAGCGAACCGGAUUAGAUACCCGGGUAGUCCUGGCCGUAAACGAUGCGCACUAGGUGAUGGUGCGGCUAUGAGCCGCAUCAGUGUCGUAGGGAAACCGUUAAGUGUGCCGCCUGGGAAGUACGGUCGCAAGGCUUAAACUUAAAGGAAUUGGCGGGGGAGCACCACAAGGGGUGAAGACUGCGGUUC
Molecule: ribosomal RNA, 429 nt
Filed under: uncultured archaeon
Lineage: Archaea
Description: bacterial SSU rRNA
Rfam family: Archaeal small subunit ribosomal RNA
Source: RNAcentral